CACUAAACAUCAAGCAUUCAACCCUUUCCAGACUUUAAGAACGCUUCUCUGGGUUUGUUCUCUAGAUAAGUUCUCCAAAGACACAUUUGUUACAUACUGACCUGGCAUUCCUUGAUUCCUAUCUUGUCACUAUUUUCACAUUCAUGCUCUAAAUGUACAAAGCCCUCAUCUCUUUCAUUAUUGCUGAACCUUCCCCUGAACCACUAGAGCCUGCUCUAACAAUGCAAUGUUAAAUUUCAACAUUUACAGAAUUAGUUCUGAGUUGAUAUAACUGAGGAUGUCUCCUCUUUGUCCCAGUCUGUAAACAGGGAAGUGAGAAAAACAUGACAUGGUUGUGGUUAAACUCUUUCUUUUAAAUUCACUUCUCUAAAUCCUCAAAAUGGAAAAAAUGUUCCUGCUGAGAAUAAAUCUCUGGGUAUGUUUCCAUUUAUUGGGCUCAACAGUCAAAGUUCAUGGAAAUCACCCUGACAGCACUAAGCCAUGAAAAGGGUCUGUUUACACCAUAAAUGACCCUGUACGUCUGCACUGAGAGUUAACCCAUACCAAGGCAGACAUGCUUUACCACUUACACCUGUCGUGGAGCUUAAGAGACUAUCCACUAAAUGGAUCUUCAACCUGCCCUUAUGUGUCCAGUCUGUCAAUGAGGACGGCUUAUGUCAAACGCUUGGUUUUAAUCCAACAGGACAAAACAUGAGCUUCCUUCAGAAAGGAAGAAUGGAAAAAAAGGAAAGGAAGGAAAGAUGGAGGAAAAUGACAGUGUAGUCUGUAUGAAUGUGUGCAUGCGUGUGUGUGGGUGUGUCUGCAUUGCGGGUUAACUUGUUUUUCCAAACUCCUUUAAACUACAUUACAUUUCUAGGGGGAGGGACUAGAAGGAGACUGUGUUGUUUUGAUUGCUAAACAGGUUUUGAGAGACACAGGGUGUGAGGCAUUCAGGGCCAACAGGAAAAACAUAUGUGCAGUGUGAGUAAAGGCGCAGUGUAUUUUCAUAAUCUUACAGACUCCUGCUUUAAGCUUCUUAAUAGGAAGGCCCUGUGUCUUCUUUCUAAGAGGAUAGUAAAUCAAAGAUCCAGCAGACAAGAGAAAUUGGCUGUGGCAUCUGCAGACCAGGGGCUAAGGUAGGAUUGUCUGAGAAAGAGUGCAGAGCAGCAAGAAUGAGUAGAUAAGAUUUAAAAAUAUUAGCAGCCACCCACUGCAUAGCACAGUACAUUUUCCAGCAGUGUGUGCAUACUGGCUCUGCAGUGAGAUUGGGAGAAGGGGAUAUUACAAAGCAGGAAACCACGACCUGUAUGACCUCAAAGCCUAAACAGCCAAAACAAACCACUUGGGUAGCAGCAGUGGCAAGUGCCUGCCAAACAAAGAAACUGGCGAAAGGAGAUGACAAGGGGUCUAUUUUCAGCCAAAAUCCCCCACCGACCGCCCACGUGCUCUUUCUCCCUCACUCUCUCGCUCGCUCUCUCCUCCUCCUCCUCCCUGGUCUGUUCUGUUCUGCUUUUUUUGCACAAAAUUUCACCAUGAAGUGUCUGUCCAUCCUUACAGCUCUUUGUGUUGUGUUAUGAACUAGGCGGAAAACAAAGAGAGGUGAGGGGUAAUGGGACUCUGGGUCAGUUGGUGAGAGUGAAAUUUGGAACAAGGGGGGAGGUAUGGAGGCGGGGGAAUUCCUCUGGGAGCUGCAUUCCCUCGGCACAUCAGGCUAUAUCAGGAGCAACCAGAGGAGGGCCCAAACAGGAACUGAUAAGGGGGGGCAGUGAAAACAAAGAAAAGUUGACUUGGCCGAGACUCUCGGAUGGGGAGGAAAAUGAAGAAGUGGAACACGGGGAGCUACAGCUCUUGGGGAAAUUGAAGCAUAAACACCCACAGUGGGACGCUCAGUAAACAACCCCAGUCCCAACAGAGAGGGACAACAGCACAGUUUGACAAAUUUGUCUGGUGAAAACAGAUGAUGAGUGGAAAAAAAAUUACACUGACCAGACAUCUGAUUUACAUACUGCGAAUGUCUGAAUGAGCAGUUUAUAGCUGCUAUUACUGCCUUUGUUUGUGCACUGGGCCCUGCUCAAUAAAGCAUGAAAAUGCAAAGCUG
Long non-coding RNA from Lates calcarifer (barramundi perch), 2077 nucleotides. RefSeq lists it as uncharacterized. The record is from RefSeq and is a predicted model, not a curated record. The transcript is spliced from 2 exons. Lineage: Eukaryota; Metazoa; Chordata; Actinopteri; Centropomidae.